Desmophyllum pertusum is the source of this 73-nucleotide non-coding RNA. Lineage: Eukaryota; Metazoa; Cnidaria; Anthozoa; Scleractinia; Caryophylliidae. The record is from the annotation of a GenBank genome assembly.
GACACAGUGGCAUAAUGGUUAGUGCGCUGGACUUCGGAUCAAGUGGUUCAGGUUCAAGCUCUGGCCUGGGUCA